CAUCGUUUGCAACGGCCUUUGUUUUGGAAUAUCAAUCCUACAGUGUCGUCAUAAAACUCUCUCUGCUCAUCAACAGAAAGUGGAAAUAAACAGAAUUUUCCUACUCUAACACCGACGCUAGAAUUGAGGCUUUCCAUAAUUAGUCGAGACUGGGGACCUUAUUAGAACUACCUCUGAUAUAAUAGGAUUUAAAGAUGUCUGGUGGUCGACGAUGAUCAGAGUCUGACUGUAUAGUAUGAAAAUGCUAAUACUGAUCAUACAACAAGUACAGACUAAUACUGAUUAGACGGUAGCAGUGUUCCACUAUAAUGGAAAAACUGACAGUAGUUAGGACGCAAUUUGAUAUUGGACAGAAUGAAUGCAGAGUUUCUGCUUAAUGCUUUAAUCAUGCCAAAUUCUGGUGAGAAAAAAGGUGCAUUUUGAAUAAUUUAAUGAUUAUGAAGUCGUCAGACAGAUAGAAAAUUGAUUUUUAAAGCGUUCUGGGACUUGGUAAAGAUCUAGAUCGCCUGCGUAUCCUUCAACUCCGCGUUCAGAACAUUUCUUUUAGACUGUCCCACAGCGCGAAUCAAACCCAGUGACCCAUAUUACAGAAGGACAGAGGCAAAGGACGCAAGUGGCCGAGUUUUCCAUUUGAACCUCCUUGGAGAAUAUUUGACAAGAGUAAAGGGGAAGGAGGGCUGUGUGAGUGAUCAGAAAAUGGGGCCGUGCGUACACCACUUGUUUCCCUGAGCUCUGAGGGGACGGGUAGAAACGUCUAACACAAACUUCCACUUGAGCGAAUCGUUGCAAUGGAGAAUUUGCUGAGACGUUUCUCAAGGGCAUCGUGGAGAUUUAUUUUUCAAUCUCAACAUGAACACACGAGCAAGACAGAUCAAGCUAAUUUCCUCCCAGCCCCUCUCGUUCCCCGCUCUUUUUUUUUGGUGGGGAGAAAAGGCAACACCACCAACGGCGGCGGCGGUACCUUCAGCGUCGGCCGAAAUAAAAUGGUGAAGUUUAGUUUCCCGACUGGGAGCUGAAGAGGCGGUUUGAGCGCGUAAGUGGUUUCCUCAGGAGCGCAGUUAAUGGGGGUUCGUCUCAGCAAAAGCUAGGUGUCAUUCGGCCUAGACAGCCCAGGGACCAGUUGGCUGAUUCUGAAUGAAAACCGGUUUGGCGGGCAGAAGGACAGGACUGAAUGUUUUGUCUACAAAUAUAAAAGAACAGCAAGUAUGGACCCAAAGAUUUUGUGCGAAUUGUGUGUUGAUAGUUUGCUCUGGACUGUGGAAAGUGAUGGAAGGUUGCAGCUUUUUAUUUAGCGAAUCCCACGCAAAAUCACAAAUGAGUGAUUUUGCAACGAAGAUCUUGUUACAGAAAGCAGCAACCAGGGAGGGAGAAUAGCGGACAUCACGACUGACUGUGAUACAAUGGCGGUAGAUUAAUCUGUGUACUUAUGUAUUCUCAGAUGUCAUCCCCCUCCCCACAACAUAAAUAAAAAGUGAAUCAACAUUUA
This is a non-coding RNA of Chiloscyllium plagiosum (whitespotted bambooshark), 1486 nucleotides long. The record is from RefSeq and is a predicted model, not a curated record. NCBI's taxonomy places the organism in Eukaryota, Metazoa, Chordata, Chondrichthyes, Orectolobiformes, Hemiscylliidae.